UGGGGAAUUUUGGACAAUGGGCGAAAGCCUGAUCCAGCAAUGCCGCGUGUGUGAAGAAGGCCUUCGGGUUGUAAAGCACUUUUGUCCGGAAAGAAAUCCUUGCUAGGUUAAUGACUCGGGGGAUGACGGUACCGGAAGAAUAAGCACCGGCUAACUACGUGCCAGCAGCCGCGGUAAUACGUAGGGUGCAAGCGUUAAUCGGAAUUACUGGGCGUAAAGCGUGCGCAGGCGGUUUUGUAAGACGGAUGUGAAAUCCCCGGGCUUAACCUGGGAACUGCAUUCGUGACUGCAAGGCUAGAGUAUGGCAGAGGGGGGUAGAAUUCCACGUGUAGCAGUGAAAUGCGUAGAGAUGUGGAGGAAUACCGAUGGCGAAGGCAGCCCCCUGGGCCAAAUACUGACGCUCAUGCACGAAAAGCGUGGGGAGCAAAACAGGAUUAGAUACCCUGGUAGUCCACGCCCUAAACGAUGUCAACUAGUUGUUGGGGAUUCAUUUCCUUAGUAACGUAGCUAACGCGUGAAGUUGACCGCCUGGGGAGUACGGUCGCAAGAUU
This 551-nucleotide ribosomal RNA is filed under the name uncultured bacterium. Its description in RNAcentral is "partial 16S ribosomal RNA". It matches the Rfam family "Bacterial small subunit ribosomal RNA", at positions 355 to 895 of the family's 1533-position model. The record is from RNAcentral.